GUUUCCGUAGGUGAACCUGCGGAGGGAUCAUUACUGAGUGAGGGCCUUCGGGCUCGACCUCCAACCCUUUGUGAACACAACUUGUUGCUUCGGGGGCGACCCUGCCGUUUCGACGGCGAGCGCCCCGGAGGCCUUUAAACCCUGAUCUUUGCGUCGGAGUUUAAGUAAAUAAACAAAACUUUCAACAACGGAUCUCUUGGUUCUGGCAUCGAUGAAGAACGCAGCGAAAUGCGAUAAGUAAUGUGAAUUGCAGAAUUCAGUGAAUCAUCGAAUCUUUGAACGCACAUUGCGCCCUUUGGUAUUCCGAAGGGCAUGCCUGUUCGAGCGUCAUUUCACCACUCAAGCCUCGCUUGGUAUUGGGCGCCGCGGUGUUUCCGCGCGCCUCAAAGUCUUCCGGCUGAGCUGUCCGUCUCUAAGCGUUGUGAUUUCAUUAAUCGCUUCGGAGUCGCGGGCGGCCGCGGCCGUUAAAUCUUUCACAAGGUUGACCUCGGAUCAGGUAGGGAUACCCGCUGAACUUAAGCAUAU
This 525-nucleotide ribosomal RNA is filed under the name Cercospora caricis. RNAcentral describes it as "eukaryotic LSU rRNA". The stretch from base 177 to 330 matches the Rfam family "5.8S ribosomal RNA". Lineage: Eukaryota; Fungi; Ascomycota; Dothideomycetes; Mycosphaerellales; Mycosphaerellaceae. The record is from RNAcentral.